UACGUAGGGUGCAAGCGUUGUCCGGAGUUACUGGGCGUAAAGCGUGCGUAGGCGGUGUCUUAAGUUUGUUGUGAAAUCUCCCGGCUUAACCGGGAGGGUGCGGCGAAUACUGAGAUGCUGGAGUGCCGGAGAGGUAAGCGGAAUUCCUGGUGUAGCGGUGAAAUGCGUAGAUAUCAGGAGGAACACCUGCGGUGUAGACGGCUUACUGGACGGUAACUGACGCUGAGGCACGAAAGCGUGGGUAGCAAACAGG
This 253-nucleotide ribosomal RNA is filed under the name uncultured bacterium. RNAcentral's name for it is "partial 16S ribosomal RNA". It matches the Rfam family "Bacterial small subunit ribosomal RNA", at positions 524 to 776 of the family's 1533-position model. The record is from RNAcentral.